This 253-nucleotide ribosomal RNA is filed under the name uncultured bacterium. RNAcentral's name for it is "partial 16S ribosomal RNA". It matches the Rfam family "Bacterial small subunit ribosomal RNA", at positions 524 to 776 of the family's 1533-position model. The record is from RNAcentral.
UACGUAGGGGGCAAGCGUUGUCCGGAAUCAUUGGGCGUAAAGCGCGCGUAGGCGGCCCUGUAAGUCCGCUGUAAAAGUCAAAGGCUCAACCUUUGAAAGCCGGUGGAUACUGCAGGGCUAGAGUCCGGAAGAGGCGAGUGGAAUUCCUGGUGUAGCGGUGAAAUGCGCAGAUAUCAGGAGGAACACCAAUGGCGAAGGCAGCUCGCUGGGACGUGACUGACGCUGAGAGACGAAAGCUAGGGGAGCGAAUGGG